AGAGAAUAGAUACCCCGGGUAGUCCACGCCGUAAACGAUGAGAACUAGCUGUCGGGGCUCUUGGAGUCUCGGUGGCGCAGCUAACGCGUUAAGUUCUCCGCCUGGGGAGUACGGCCGCAAGGUUAAAACUCAAAGAAAUUGACGGGGGCCUGCACAAGCGGUGGAGCAUGUGGUUUAAAUUCGAAGCAACGCGCAAAACCUUACCAGCGUUUGACAUGGUAGGUCGGUUUCCAGAGAUGGGUUCCUCCCCUUACCGGGGUCCGUACACACAGGUGCUGCAUGGCUGUCGUCAGCUCGUGUCGUGAGAUGUU
RNAcentral lists this ribosomal RNA (311 nucleotides) under uncultured bacterium. RNAcentral's name for it is "bacterial SSU rRNA". It matches the Rfam family "Bacterial small subunit ribosomal RNA", at positions 773 to 1076 of the family's 1533-position model. The record is from RNAcentral.